Molecule: long non-coding RNA, 913 nt
Organism: Oncorhynchus gorbuscha (pink salmon)
Lineage: Eukaryota; Metazoa; Chordata; Actinopteri; Salmoniformes; Salmonidae
Exons: 4
Source: RefSeq, a predicted model, not a curated record
CACACACAAGCUGCAUAUGCAGAAGUGCCAGCCCAAUUGUAGCUGAGCUGGGGAGGACAGAACAGUGCAAACUGCCACCCGUGCAGUUCCUCUUUUUGCUAUAAUCUGACAGAUUUGAUGAAUUGGCCACGCUCCGCCUCUGGUUGAGCAGUUUCCUGUUUGCGGUCUUAUUGCCAGCGUCCAUCUGUGGUGUCUUCUCCAGGAUCUGCACAGUCUCUCCUAUCUCCAGAACCAGGGCCUGACAUACUGAGCUCCGGAAGUUGCAGAUCACUGAGGAGAAAGAAAAGGAUCAACAAUGUUACAUUCAUGAAGUUAUCUGUGUUUCUGCUGUAGCCAACAUGUUGUCAAGAAUGACGCCUCGCCAAAGGGAAGCAUCAGGGAGUGUUUUUUUGUUUUUGUUUUUUGGCGGUGCUGUCGGGUCCGGGUGUCAGAACCGGAGCUACCUGGAAGGCCUCAGACAGUUUGUUGGAUUCCCAUGCCUUGGUAGGUUCGACGGGUUCCCCUGCCUCAGCUGGCUUGACGUGUUUCCAUACCUCAGUGGGAUCGAUAGGCUCCCAUGCCUGAUGAACCAGCUCAUCGGGCUCUCAUGCCUCAGCCGGUUCAUCAGGUUUCUGCGCCUCAGCGGAGGCCACCAGUCCGUUCCUGAUCCCCGAGAUUGACCCUGUGAUUGGCGUCCUGCGGCUGGAGCCAGCUGCGCCGGGGAGGUGGUACUGUCACGUAUGCUCUCUCCUGCGCUCUAGGUCGCCAUGCUCCCGCACCUCAGCUGGAUCGACAGGUUCCCGCGCCAUAGCAGAGGUGACUGGUCCGCUCCUGACUACUUUUGGUUUCUUACCCAGUCAUCAUUGUUUCUGUUUCCUGUCUGUGCGUUGUUUGUGUUUCUUGUUUUGUAUUAUGUUUCGUUCAUUUAUUAAAU